UACGUAGGGUGCAAGCGUUAAUCGGAAUUAUUGGGCGUAAAGGGUGCGCAGGCGGUUAUGUAAGUCAGAUGUGAAAGCCCUGGGCUUAACCUAGGAAUUGCGUUUGAAACUAUAUAACUAGAGUGUGGCAGAGGGGAGUGGAAUUCCAUGUGUAGCAGUGAAAUGCGUAGAGAUGUGGGAGAACACCGAUGGCGAAGGCAGCUCCCUGGGUUAACACUGACGCUCAGGCACGAAAGCGUGGGGAGCAAACAGG
RNAcentral lists this unclassified non-coding RNA (253 nucleotides) under uncultured Gammaproteobacteria bacterium. Its description in RNAcentral is "contains 16S-23S intergenic spacer region". It matches the Rfam family "Bacterial small subunit ribosomal RNA", at positions 524 to 776 of the family's 1533-position model. Lineage: Bacteria; Pseudomonadati; Pseudomonadota; Gammaproteobacteria. The record is from RNAcentral.